AUCCAACUGACGAGUCCCAAAUAGGACAAAACACGCGUCAAACUGAAU
Molecule: non-coding RNA, 48 nt
Filed under: Schistosoma mattheei
Lineage: Eukaryota; Metazoa; Platyhelminthes; Trematoda; Strigeidida; Schistosomatidae
Source: RNAcentral